This is a long non-coding RNA of Carassius carassius (crucian carp), 659 nucleotides long. RefSeq lists it as uncharacterized. The transcript is spliced from 3 exons. Lineage: Eukaryota; Metazoa; Chordata; Actinopteri; Cypriniformes; Cyprinidae. The record is from RefSeq and is a predicted model, not a curated record.
AGAGAGAUGUCCAGACGGAUGAAUAUUGAUAUGACAUCACCGGCAAAAGUGUCGAGCAGUCAUUUAACCCAAUUACAUUCCAACCGCGUCGUGUUAUAUGCAAAGAAAUCAGGUGGCGAACUCCAGUAAUGAGUUCGAUUUUAUGCCAAAUUUAGACCUCAUUACUAUUUCCUAGGCGUGGCAAAGUGGUUAGAGGCGCGCGGCGGUGCGGAGUGGGUCUGGGAGCAUACAGCUCAGUUAUAUCAUUAAAUGGUAGGGUAGGCUUAAUAGUGCUUUGGAUUAUAGACGCUGAUGGCUUUCAAGAGUGUAGCCAAGGUGCCGUGAAAAGCAAAUGUCCCCCUGGCAUGUCCUGCUCCUUAAUACUGUCCUGCACUUCUACCCUCGCCCGCAGAGAAAUUUCCCGCUCUUGGGCUGAUGGAUGCAAAUGUAAGCUCUGUAAUUGGAUCAGUUCCCCAGAUACAGAUAAAUGGCUGCUGCUUUACUGGGGUUAUUUUGAGCUAUGUGAAGACAGCAGUGUGUCUCUAUGUGUGUGUGUGUGUGUGUGUGUGUGUGUGUGCAACAUUAAUGAGAAGGAGUUGAGACACGCUUUACUCAGUCACAACACUGUGCGCCUGUACCUAUACUGUACACAUUCACACACUAAAUGAGGAGGAGGCAGC